RNAcentral lists this unclassified non-coding RNA (303 nucleotides) under uncultured fungus. Its description in RNAcentral is "partial contains 5.8S ribosomal RNA, internal transcribed spacer 2, and large subunit ribosomal RNA". The stretch from base 1 to 52 matches the Rfam family "5.8S ribosomal RNA", at positions 103 to 154 of the family's 154-position model. The record is from RNAcentral. Lineage: Eukaryota; Fungi. RNAcentral also lists the same sequence under 1 other name.
AACGCAUCUUGCGCUCCUUGGUAUUCCGAGGAGCAUGCCUGUUUGAGUGUCAUUAAUCUCUCAACCACACCAAUCUUUUUGGCUUGGUGUGGCUUUUGGAUGUGGGGGUUUUAUUUUGCUGGCUCCUAUCAAAUGAGGUCAGCUCCCCUGAAACUUAUUAGCGGUAUCUGAGCAGAGAGACCUACUACAGGUGUGAUAAAUUAUCUAUGCCUUGGUCAUACUGCAUGAACAGACUGUGCUGCUUCCAGUGAAUCAUUUGACAAUUUUGACCUCAAAUCAGGUAGGACUACCCGCUGAACUUAA